UGAGGAAUAUUGGUCAAUGGGCGAGAGCCUGAACCAGCCAAGUCGCGUGAAGGAAUACGGCCCUAUGGGUCUUAAACUUCUUUUGUAUAGGGGUAAAGGUAUGUACGUGUACAUAUUUGCAAGUACUAUACGAAUAAGGAUCGGCUAACUCCGUGCCAGCAGCCGCGGUAAUACGGAGGAUGCAAGCGUUAUCCGGAUUCAUUGGGUUUAAAGGGUGCGUAGGCGGCUUGGUAAGUCAGCGGUGAAAUUCCAGUGCUCAACAUUGGCCGUGCCGUUGAUACUGCUGGGCUUGAAUGCGGAUGCCGUGGGAGGAAUGUGUGGUGUAGCGGUGAAAUGCAUAGAUAUCACACAGAACACCGAUUGCGAAGGCAUCUCACGAAUCCGCAAUUGACGCUGAGGCACGAAAGUGUGGGGAUCAAACAGGAUUAGAUACCCUGGUAGU
RNAcentral lists this ribosomal RNA (442 nucleotides) under uncultured Paludibacter sp. RNAcentral describes it as "bacterial SSU rRNA". It matches the Rfam family "Bacterial small subunit ribosomal RNA", at positions 355 to 794 of the family's 1533-position model. Lineage: Bacteria; Pseudomonadati; Bacteroidota; Bacteroidia; Bacteroidales; Paludibacteraceae. The record is from RNAcentral.